Molecule: unclassified non-coding RNA, 260 nt
Filed under: Athalia rosae (coleseed sawfly)
Lineage: Eukaryota; Metazoa; Arthropoda; Insecta; Hymenoptera; Athaliidae
Description: misc RNA ENSAEAG00005007584.1
Source: RNAcentral
AUGAUACGUACGAUAAUUCAAAGAUUCGCGAUCUCGUGGAACUCGUGCAACUCGUGCACGCGAGUUAUCAUAUUUGAAUACAUAGCGGACGGCGUGAACCAUAGUUAUGGAGAUAUUUUGAUAACAUUAAUUAUCUUAUUAGAAAAUAGAUGGGAUAUACCUAGGACAUCAAUCGUCGUGUACGGGGCGAAUAUUAUAAUUUAUCUUUUGAUAUCAAAUACUGUAACACCGCGGUGGUAGACAUGUGUUCUAAUAAUUUC